This 630-nucleotide small RNA is filed under the name Pan troglodytes (chimpanzee). RNAcentral describes it as "retained intron". Lineage: Eukaryota; Metazoa; Chordata; Mammalia; Primates; Hominidae. The record is from RNAcentral.
UAAAAUGGUGUUAAACGCAUUCAAUAUUUAAAUAAUUAUAAAUAUAUUUUUAAUUAAUAGUGCUAUUUAUAAUUAGGUAAAUAUCCUAAAAGUGAUAUUUUAAUAUAAUUUCAGAAGUCACAAAGUAAAUCUGUAAGAUUUACAUGAUUUAAUUCAAACCAAAAACAUCAUGUUAAUUGGAACCAAUUUAAUUUGUUGCUGUAUAGUUAGCCCUUGUUUGGAAAGUCUAAUUUUGAUAAUUUCUUUAACUUACACAUUUAAUAUCGAAACUACUUUUUUAGGCAAGCCAAUUAUACUUCUCGGUGCAAAAUUCUUGAAAUCUGUAUUUUAUUAAAAAGUAAAAUUGUGUUUAACUGAUACGUUCUUUAUCUCACUCCCCACCAUCACUUUUUAGAUCAUUGUAAUGGCCUGCCGAGAAUUUGAGAUGGGAAGGAAAAAAUGUGAGCGCUAUUGGCCUUUGUAUGGAGAAGACCCCAUAACGUUUGCACCAUUUAAAAUUUCUUGUGUAAGUAUCCAUUUUUGUAAACACUUUUUUCAGAAAAUUGGCAUGCUAUACUGAUGAAUAAUUAAAUUAUAAUGUGGUAUGGACCCAGGUUUAUAGACGCCAAGGACUCACAAACCUAUGCUUAC